CGAAAAAAAAACAAUACGACAACACAAUAAACCCAUGUCACACCCUGGCCUGAACAAAUAAUUAAAGAAAACACAAAAUACUAAGACCAAGGCGUGACAGUUGCAUAGGAUGAUAUUACUCCAACCAGUCCUGAGGAGUAUUAUUUAGAGGGUACCAGAGUUAAGAUCUCCUGUAACUAACUGUGGUACAGACAGUACUCUGGAUCAGGUCUCCAAUUCCUUUACCUCGUAACAACUAACAAUAAUCCACAUGAAGUGAGAGGUGAUCCGCAAGACUUUCUACUGUCUGUUACACUGAACAAGGAGAGAACCUGCAUGGAUCUCCUCUGGAGGAGCAAAGAUGAGAGGUGGAGAGAUGAUUCUCCUCUAACUGACUGGAACAGUGGGAUGUCUUCAGUUCUGCCUCCUGAUAAACACACUGUUACACCCAUCACCAUGUUUCUCUACCCAGUGUUUCUCCUCUCUGCACUUGUUGGUGGCAGUUAUGAAAAUGACAUAAACCCAACUUCAGAGACAGAACAUGGCGUGGAGGGAAGCAAUGUUAAACUGUCUUGUAACUACUCUGACUCAGUAGACUAUUUUCAAUGGUAUCAUCAAUAUCCCAGAUCAGCACCGCAAUUCCUGCUCUAAACUACAGUCUCCUUAAAGCACUCUGUAUUUAGAGCUGAACCUGAUGACCCACGACUGUCUGUUAAUCUGAAUAAAGAGAGAACCUGUGUGGAUCUGGAGAUCUCCUCUGCUGAAGUGACAGACUCUGCUCUGUGCAGGGGGGUGCGUCCUACUGUAGUUUCAAGAAAAUCAGUUAUCCUGUAAAAAACUGUGUUGGACUUCACUCCAGCAUAUAACCUCAGCUACAAUAUAAUGGUUCUCUACUGAGUUAUUUUACUUUCUGUUCUGUAAAUUACUGUAUUCCUGUCCUUCUUUUAUCUUAAUGUUUUGGCUAUUGUAUAGUUUAUAAGUAUUUUGGGAUUUUAACUAGUUUCUUCAUAAUGACAUAUAACAUGAAUGGAGUACCACUGUAUCAAAUAUCCUCAUUUCAUACUCCUACACCUCUGAAGAAUCUAGUCACUUCCAUGACAAUCAGAAGAUCUACAGUAUUUUAUCUCUGAACACUCAAAAGCAGCUUUAUAAAAAUAAGUGUACAAGAUAUCAGUUAAAAGUGUUCACAAACCUUUAUUAAAAAGAA
Molecule: long non-coding RNA, 1186 nt
Organism: Oncorhynchus keta (chum salmon)
Lineage: Eukaryota; Metazoa; Chordata; Actinopteri; Salmoniformes; Salmonidae
Exons: 4
Source: RefSeq, a predicted model, not a curated record